AGGUAUGUAGGUCCAAAAGGACACAUCACAAACCUGAUAUAUAUGGGGUUUGAGUGACAGAUAUACAGAAAGUUUAGGGUAUUGGAUCCAGUCGGAGCCAUGAUUUUAGUAUACGGAUAUGUGCCUUCUGGAUAUCCAGGUCUUGGAUAUUCUUCUACAUAUUGUAUUACGCGUGAGUAUCUGGAUUCGGAUUUAGAUCCGUAUAGAAAUAAAAUAGAUUUUUUAAAAUAUUAAAUUCUUAAAAUAAUACAUAAAUCAAAUAUCUAUACAAAAUUUAUAAUAUAUAUAUGAUUACAAAACUAAAUAUAAUACUACAAGACUAAUUUAUGUAUAAAUAU
This 338-nucleotide long non-coding RNA is filed under the name Brassica napus (rape). RNAcentral's name for it is "long non-coding RNA (BNAP_LNC026009)". The record is from RNAcentral. Lineage: Eukaryota; Viridiplantae; Streptophyta; Magnoliopsida; Brassicales; Brassicaceae.